RNAcentral lists this unclassified non-coding RNA (2689 nucleotides) under Hevea brasiliensis (rubber tree). Lineage: Eukaryota; Viridiplantae; Streptophyta; Magnoliopsida; Malpighiales; Euphorbiaceae. The record is from RNAcentral.
UUUAUGACACAAAAAAAUGAAAAAAUUAUACAGCUGUUCUUUUGUACACUUAACAAACAGCUGAAUUUCUUUCAAAAAAGGGAGAAGGGAUUGAGGAAAAGAGGGAAAAGGAAAAAAAAGUAUAACAAAAAUCACACUCAAUAUUUUGGAGGCAAAUGGAUUUGUUUUUAUUUUGAUGCUUUAAAUAGUUGGCUUCCAAGAGUCACAGUUGGGGUUCCUUCCCCCAUUACUGUUGUUAAGCUCAUCUCUUUCUCGAGUAUCCGAUCGAGUUCCAUCACCACGUAACUCAUGGCAGGUCGCCUCUCGCUUGAAGGUUCCAGGCAUCGGACUAUCAGUUGUAUGAACUCCUCCAUGCCUUCAGCUGUGAAGCUAGUUCCCAAUUUUUGAUCAACAAUGCUAGCAAAAACACUGUAGUCCUCAGUAUUUUGAACCUUCGUAAGAAAUAACAACAAAUCCAUUUUAGCUCCAACUAGCAACUCACAAGUUAUGCAAUACAUUGCAAUAUGCAGCAUCUGCAACUGCUACAUUACUUGAAAGUGUUUCAGGAAUAGCUAGAAUAUGCAUCAGUAUGAACAGACAACUAGACAUUUAUGUUCAUGCGUACACAACCAUUGCGUUGCAAAUUUGUAGCAAGUAUGUUGGUGAUGACAAUAUAUAAAUAGCAAAACAAAAAACUAUCAAUAGCAUUGUACUUGGACACCAUACCCAUUCAACCAGGUUUUGGCUGGAGUCUGGAGAUGGCGAUUCUGUUGCUUCCUGUCCGUGUAGUAACUCCAGAAGGAAUACGCCAAAACUGAAUACAUCACUUUUAUCAGAAAAUCUUCUGAACUCUUUCACCCUGCAUGCAUCAACGGUAAAUUGGUAAAGUGAUAAACUACGUUACCUUAACAGCUAUACAAAACACGGAAGCUUAGGAGUAAUACUCUGGCGCAAGAAAUAUGUCAUCUGCUGUCACUUGUGAAGAUGGACCUGCAACAUCAACAUGUCCCAGGAAAUUACGAAGUCCUGCAUCUGCAACCUUGGCAAUAAAAUUUUCAUCUACAAGAACAUUGGCUGUUUUGAAAUCCUUGUGUAAUAAACGGGGACUCUGAGAGUGAAGAUGAGCCAAACCUGGACAAAAUUUUACAUAACUCAAAGGUACACUCAUUUCAAAACCUUUCACAUGUGAUGGAAAAGCCUUCAUUCAAUUUCAAGUCUCACCAAACUUGAAAUAUUUUGCAUUAUUGAUAUUCAGUUUUAUUUUCUCUUUUUUUUCUCAGGACCAGAUAUUUUGUCUAAAUAAAAGAAAAACCUAUACCAGGAAAGCCAAAAUGCUCACUGAUUUUGCAGAGGAUCACCUUUAGCUGCACCAAGAGCUAUUGAAAGUCUAAGCUUGAAUUCUAGCUUCCCAUCUGAAGCACGACCAGGUCCAUACAAGUGACUGGAAACACUCCCACUAGGUAUAUACUCGUAUAUGAGAAACUGUUCAUUACUUUCCUGGCAGUAGCCCAAAAGAGUCACAAGAUUCCGAUGCUGAAUAGGUGAAAGGUAGCGCACCUCAUCAACAAAUUCAGGGCUAGGUGCUCCAGAUCGCUUUUUGAUAGCCACAAGCAUCCCAUCAUUAAGCAAACCCUUAUAUACUUCCCCAAAUUUUCCUACCCCAAUCAAAUUUUUAUCACUAAAAUUUUUUGUAGCAACAGACAAUUCUUCCAUCUCAAAACGCCUUGCUUCUCGCAUGGACAACUCAACCCCAACAUGCCUUCCUCCUUGAGAUGGUUCAGAAGACCCUGUCUCAGAAGUUCUUGAAACACUCUUCUUGUGAGAUAGGCAGAACCAUAUAAGAAAGAUAACCAUCCCCACCAAUGCCACGACUCCUGCAGCACCUCCUAAUAUGGCUGCAAGAGUCCUUGACAUUUGGUAUGGGAACCACUUCAACAAUGCAGUAAAGUAUUACUGGAAUAUAAAAUAUUAUACAUCGAACCUGUAUUCCCAGAGAAAUAAUUCAGCCAGAUCUCCAGAAAUCUCAGAUUCAUUUGCCAAUGACAAAAUCAGCGAGCCUCGCAAUAACAGAAUCAGCAAAAUCAACACUCACCCACAUUCCCACAUUGAGAAAUGAAGUCUUUUUGUUUAUAUCUCUCAAUCCAAAAACCCAGCAAGAAUUUCGAAAACACAGUCAAAUCAAGAAAAAGUAAUAUAAACCCAGUUAUGAUCAACACCAACUCUAGGAGUUGCAAGUGUCGAAGAGACAAAGGCAGGUAAAGGAAAGCAGAGACACACAGCUUUCAGGGGCUGCAACAACUAAGAAGUAAUGAAUGAAUGAAUGAAUAGAAUCAACCAAUCUCGUGGUUGUACUUUUUAAUCAAUAAAUUUGAGAAUCAUCGUUGGAUACAGACAAUGCCGACAGAAAGAGACCUCGCGCCGACAGCACUCUCAGGUUUGGGGCUUAUUCCUAUGACUUCCCUUCCACCAAAAUCACCCCAAAAAAUACUCAAAAAAACCAAAACCCAUUACACCAAAUCACCAAUAUCUAUAUCCAAAACCCACCAAUUAUGUAUAACCAAAUUAAUAUAUAACACCUACCGUUUUCUUCUUUUGAUGUUUCAAGUUCCAGAGAAUAAAACUUUUAAAAAUCCCUACAGCAAAAAAAAGUAUGGAAUUUGAAGCAAAGGAAGUACGCUGUAUUAUAUCAAGAUGAUGAUGACCAUGAAAG